Long non-coding RNA from Aedes albopictus (Asian tiger mosquito), 219 nucleotides. RefSeq lists it as uncharacterized. The transcript has 3 exons. Lineage: Eukaryota; Metazoa; Arthropoda; Insecta; Diptera; Culicidae. The record is from RefSeq and is a predicted model, not a curated record.
UAGUUUUUUUCUUUUGUUAGUAGUUAAUUUUGUUAGCCAUGCACAAUGCCAGCCUAAGCCUUUGCGAACAAGUCGUUAAAAUGGAAAAAGUGUGUUAAUAAGAACAACAAAACGUUGGUUCCAUGCGAAACCUACAAUACAAACAUGUAGUGAACGAAGUACAACACGAAUAGUUAAAAAUCAACAAGAAAAGGUCCAUACAUUGGGCCUUUUCUUUUU